Molecule: small nuclear RNA, 161 nt
Filed under: Haemaphysalis longicornis (longhorned tick)
Lineage: Eukaryota; Metazoa; Arthropoda; Arachnida; Ixodida; Ixodidae
Description: U1 spliceosomal RNA
Rfam family: U1 spliceosomal RNA
About the family: U1 is a small nuclear RNA (snRNA) component of the spliceosome (involved in pre-mRNA splicing). Its 5' end forms complementary base pairs with the 5' splice junction, thus defining the 5' donor site of an intron. There are significant differences in sequence and secondary structure between metazoan and yeast U1 snRNAs, the latter being much longer (568 nucleotides as compared to 164 nucleotides in human).
Source: Rfam by way of RNAcentral
AUACUUACCUGGUGCAGGGGUUACCCUGAUCAUUGAGGGGGUGCCUCCAGGGAGGACACGGGCAUUGCACUGCGCCCGUGUUGGCCCUGCCACUAUCCCGUCACUGGGAGGUGGGGCACUUAAUUUUUGGUAGCGGGGAACUGCGCCAGAGCGGAUCCCCU